Molecule: non-coding RNA, 94 nt
Filed under: Corynebacterium sp.
Lineage: Bacteria; Bacillati; Actinomycetota; Actinomycetes; Mycobacteriales; Corynebacteriaceae
Description: TPP sequence
Rfam family: TPP riboswitch aptamer (THI element)
About the family: Vitamin B(1) in its active form thiamin pyrophosphate (TPP) is an essential coenzyme that is synthesised by coupling of pyrimidine and thiazole moieties in bacteria. The previously detected thiamin-regulatory element, thi box was extended, resulting in a new, highly conserved RNA secondary structure, the THI element, which is widely distributed in eubacteria and also occurs in some archaea. Analysis of operon structures identified a large number of new candidate thiamin-regulated genes, mostly transporters, in various prokaryotic organisms.
Source: RNAcentral
CAGUACAACAUGGGGUGCCACGCAGUGGCUGAGAUAUACCCAUUGAACCUGCUCUCAGUUAGAACUAGCGAAGGGAUUGUUGUGGAUUGUUCAU